Molecule: long non-coding RNA, 14179 nt
Filed under: Carica papaya (papaya)
Lineage: Eukaryota; Viridiplantae; Streptophyta; Magnoliopsida; Brassicales; Caricaceae
Description: long non-coding RNA (CPAP_LNC004175)
Source: RNAcentral
CAUAAUCAAUGCUGUCCUUAGAACAAAUAUGACAUCAUAGAGAGGAGUUGCAAAUCAAAUGCCAUAUAAUAAGUUCCCGUGAAAGGAAUCUGAAGUGGAAUAUGGUCUUGUAUGAAUAAAUCUUCAAGGAGUAUCGCUAAACUAGUUUGAUAAAUCUGGCGUAUACCCAAUUAUCAAUUGAUACAAGUCCAUUCCAUCCUCUGCAAACAUAAUCAAUUUUCCCUUACUUGCCAUCAGUUGUCAAAACACCUACUCCAUAUUCAAGCACCUAGAGUGCAUGGUUAUGUAGGCUCUUCUCAUCUGUCCUGUAUAAUUCUUCAGAAACAUAUUCAAAAUUUUUCUUCACAAAUUUUAAUUACUACUCCAUAUUCCACCUAGAUUUGAUAUGCCCCAAUCAAAAUGUCCAUGUCUACAUCAACAUCUCAAAAUGCUCAUGUCUCCAUCAACAUCAAGCUUUGAGAUUAGGUCAAGUUAUAGGAGAAAUCGACAGAAACAAAGCAGAAAUAGACUCAUAGUCGACCGCUUCAUUAAGUCCUCUAUGUGUGGGAUCAUCGAAUCUGCUCGUCAUUAGUUCUCCACCACAACUCUCUUUUCCUCCUUACAUCUCCAUCAACUUGAAACUUCAUCACAUGCAUGAAUAACUUUUUCUUUCUCAAUUUUUUAUGAUCCCCAUGGUCUCCAUAAUUUUUUCCAAGCCACAUGGGUGGAAAAGCUUGAGUAGAUUUAAAUAGAGGUAGAAAAGGAGCCUGAAGGGGAGGAGAUAUUAUACCUCGACCAGGUCCUGGUAAAAGUGAAGAAAAAGGUCCACAUGCAGACUUUGGAGGCUGCAACGAGUUCCAAAUCAUGUCUACAAGUAGAUCGAGACACUGUUCUAGUCUCACCAAUGCUGCCACUAGGACUUUUUCAUUUUCUCUGCAAAGUUUUUGAGUUUCUGAUCAAACUCCUUAUCGGUCUACAGUUCUCGCCAGUCCGCCAUCACCCACUUCCCUUUAUUCUAAUAUGCCGAUGUUAUUGUAGGUAUUGUUUCUUUGGAAUUGUGAAGAUAGAUUUGCAUAAGUUGCAGGCAUGAAGGAGAAAUGAAAAGCAAGGAGAGUCGACAGCAAAAGAUAAGAACAUCGGAGAAAGCAAGAAGGAAGAAGCAAAGAGAAGAAGGAUACAAAAGAAGGAAUUAUGAUCACCGAGGUUUGGACCACUCUGCCACCAAGUUGUCAGGAACCUAUCCUGAUUUCUAAGAAACAAAGGAAGAAGAGCAUGAAGAAGAAGAAGAAGAGGAAGAAGAAGAAGAAGAAGAAAAAGAAGAAGAAGAAGAAGAAAAAAAAAAGAACAAGAAGAAAAAGAAGAAGAAGAAUAAGAGGAAGAAGAAGAGGAAGAAAAGAUUCAAAGCAGAACUUUGCUGUUGAGAAAGAAAUUUAGUAAUCAUUCAUGUCUUUCCCUUGAUAUAAACCCAUUUUAAUACCACCUUUUAUUGCUGAAAACUAAGUAGAAAGGAAGAAAUUUAUAUAGAAAGGGAGAAAUUUCUUUCUGCAUUUUGAAAGGCUGAAGACAGCCAAUACAUACAGACUUUAUAAUCAAUUACUUUACUUUUAGAGGAAGAUUUGACAGGUAGCUUACAGUAGAUAAAAAAUCAGAAAUAAAAUCUAAUAAUGCCAAAUCUAGCUAUUAACAACAAAACGUACAACUAAUAAUUGCUGGAUUGUUAACCAAAUCAAGAAUUAAAAGCCGAACAAAAAAAAUUAUAAUAAUGAAUUAAAUGUUGAGAAUCUUUCAAUGUUAAUACUGAGAAUAUCUCCACAUCAAUGUUGAGAAUUUUUCCACAUUAAUGCUGAGAAUAUUUCCACACUUCCCCUUAAGCUGGGUUGAAAAUGUUAUUCAUCCCGAGAUUGCAAGUUAGGUCUUCAAAGAUUUCUUGAAGCAGGGCUUUGAUGAGAAUGUCUGCAACCUGCAACCUUGUUGGUGUGUAGAGCAGUUGGAUAACAUUGUCUCCUACUUUUGUGUUUGACGAAAUAAUUAUCAAUUUCAACAUGUUUGGUUUUGUCAUGAUGCAUUGGAUUUUUGGCAAUACUUAGAGAUUAUCACAAAAAGUUUCAUAGGGUCUUCUAGGUUAGUUCCUAAUUCCUUGAGUAACCUUAUAAUCCAAAUAUCUUCACAGAUUGCAUUGUCCAUAUCAUGAAAUUCUGCUUCUGCACAACCUCUAGAGAUUACAGACCAUUUCUUGCUUCUCGAGGCAACCAAAUUUCUCUAUACAUAGGAAUAAUAACAAGAUGUUGAUCUCCAGUUUAUGACAGAUGUCACCCAAUCUGCAUCACAAUAAAUUUCUACUUCUCAAUUAGGACCAUUCUUGAAUAAUAAACCCUUGUCAGGUGUUAAAGUCAAGUAUCUCAGAAUCCUGUAAAUAGCCUUCGAAUGUUCUUCUUCUUGAUCAUUCAUGAACUGACUUAUAAAGCUAACAGUGAAUCCAAUAUCUGAAUGUGUGUGAGAGGUAGAUGAGUUUGCCUACCAAUCUUUGGUACCUUUAUCGACUAAACAUCUUUUGUAGACAUUCCCAACUUGUGGAUGAUUUCUAUAGGAGUCUCAACUGGUUUACAUCCCAACAUCCUACACUCAGUAAGCAAAUUUAUGAUAUUUUUUAUGGGACACAAAUGUUUUCUCUUGAUCUUGCAACCUCCAUUACUAGGAAGCAUGUAAGAUUUUCUACAUCUUUAAUAUUGAAUUCUUUAAUCAGAAUUUUCUCCACAUUAAUCAGCUCUUCUAUGAAAUCACCAAUAACAAUUUUUUUUUUGAAAUAUAAAAUCAUUAAUAACAAUUAUGUCAUCAACAUACACUACUACAAAAGAUAAUUUACGGCAGUUUGAUGUCUUUACAAAUAGUGUAUGGUCAACUUGACAUUAGAAAUAUUCAUGUUGUUGUACUACUCUUUUGAAUCUUCCGAACCAAACUCUUUUAGAUUGCUUAAGACCAUACAAUGACCAUUUUAAUUUUUAAACCAGAUAUCUCACAACUAGAGCUCCAAAUCCAGGAAGGAUCUUCAAAUACGCGUUUUCAAAUAGAUCUCCAUUCAGGAAUAUAUUCUUCACAUCUACCUAGAAUAAGGACCAAUCCAAAUUUGCAGUUAACUACAAGAGAAGACAGUCGAUAUUUGGCUUAGCCACUGAUGCAAAUAUCUCUUGUUAGUUGAUACCAUAAGACUAGAUAAAUCUUUUUGCCACAAAUCGUGUUUUAUGUCUGUCGAUGUUUCUAUCAUCCUUGUCUUUUACCGUAAAGAUCCAUUUGCAUCCAGCUGGAUUUUUUUUCUAGGAGCGAUUUUUGUGAUUUUCCAUGUCUAGUUCUUUUCUAGGGCCCGAAUCUCAUCAUAGAUAACUAUCUUCCAAUAAGGAUUUCUGUGAGCAUCUUGAAUAUUGGUAAGAACCUGCAAUACAUCUAAACUUGUAAUAACGGCUUGAAACUUAGGUGAGAAUCCUGAAUAAGAGAUAUAAUUAUAUAAAGUAUGCUUAGUACAGGAUCUUAUUCCUUUCCAUCGAGCGAUGGACCAGCAUAAAUCAUUUCUAAAAUUUUCAAAAAUUAUGUUAUUUUCAUUUGAUGAAUCCGAAUUGGACUCUUGUUCAAGUACUGGCAGUGCUUGAGAUUCUCCCUCCUGGGUGGAGGAACGUGCUCUCCUCGAAUAGGUAUAAAGCUCAUUGUGCACGUUCUUCGUUGGUAACUCCAACGUUGGAGAUUAUGCUCAACAGAUAUUGACUCAUCUUACAUGAUGCUUUGAGUAUAGUUCACGAGAUCUAGAAACUUAGAUGUCCAUAUGAUCUCACAUCUGUACUGACNNNNNNNNNNNNNNNNNNNNNNNNNNNNNNNNNNNNNNNNNNNNNNNNNNNNNNNNNNNNNNNNNNNNNNNNNNNNNNNNNNNNNNNNNNNNNNNNNNNNNNNNNNNNNNNNNNNNNNNNNNNNNNNNNNNNNNNNNNNNNNNNNNNNNNNNNNNNNNNNNNNNNNNNNNNNNNNNNNNNNNNNNNNNNNNNNNNNNNNNNNNNNNNNNNNNNNNNNNNNNNNNNNNNNNNNNNNNNNNNNNNNNNNNNNNNNNNNNNNNNNNNNNNNNNNNNNNNNNNNNNNNNNNNNNNNNNNNNNNNNNNNNNNNNNNNNNNNNNNNNNNNNNNNNNNNNNNNNNNNNNNNNNNNNNNNNNNNNNNNNNNNNNNNNNNNNNNNNNNNNNNNNNNNNNNNNNNNNNNNNNNNNNNNNNNNNNNNNNNNNNNNNNNNNNNNNNNNNNNNNNNNNNNNNNNNNNNNNNNNNNNNNNNNNNNNNNNNNNNNNNNNNNNNNNNNNNNNNNNNNNNNNNNNNNNNNNNNNNNNNNNNNNNNNNNNNNNNNNNNNNNNNNNNNNNNNNNNNNNNNNNNNNNNNNNNNNNNNNNNNNNNNNNNNNNNNNNNNNNNNNNNNNNNNNNNNNNNNNNNNNNNNNNNNNNNNNNNNNNNNNNNNNNNNNNNNNNNNUUUGUAUGACUUUAUCUUAUUUGUUUCCUCUGUGUCUAUUCCAUAAGAUUGGAGAAAAACUCUACAGGAUCCCAAAUAAAAAGAAGUCAUGAUUGAAGAAAUAAAAAUUUUGGCAAAGAAUGAAACCCGAGAUCUUGUUUCAUCUCCACUGAGAAAAAAGAUAGUUGGUUGCAAAUUGGUGUUUACUGUAAAACACAAAACAGACGGAUCGAUUGAAAUGUAAAAAACUAGACUGAUGGCUAAAAAGGUAGACUCAGAUCUAUAAAGUAACCAUCAUAAGACAUUUGCACUUAUCGCAAAAAUGAAUACAUUCAGAAUAUUGUCAUCUUAUGCAACUAAAUUUGAUUGGAACUUACAACAGUUUAAUGUGAAAAAUAUCUUACUCCAUGGAGGCUUAGAGGAAAAUGUAUAUAUGAAAAUUCUUCCUGGAUUUGAAGAUGAAAGAACACAAGUGAAGGUUUGUAAAUAAAGAAUGCUUUAUAUGGGUUGAAGCAGUCUCAAAUAGCAUAGUUUGAAAGAUUUAAAAGAGUUAUAAUUUCUUUUUAAUAUCAACAAAACAAUGUUGAUCAUACCCUAUUUAUUAGACAUUACAAGGGUAAGGUCACUUGUAGAUGAUAUUGUUAUGAUUUGAUAUGAUAUAAGGGAGAUAGUUCGAUUGAAAAAACUUCUUACUCAAGAGUUUGAAAUAAAUUAUGUAGAAGAAUUACAGUACUUCUUAGAAAUUGAAGUUGUCUGACUUAAUAAAGAGAUUUUUAUUUAUCAAAAACAAUAUAUCCUAAAUUUAUUAGAAGAGAUUGGUAUGAUGGGCUGCAAGCUGGUAGUCUCCUUUUGAAACCAAUUAAAACUACAGACGAGAAUUGGUACAUCAGUAGACUUGGGAAGAUAUUAGAGAUUGAUUGGAAGAUUCAUUUAUCUCUCACAUACUAGACUUGAUAUAACAUAUGUAGUUAACCUAGUGAAUCAGUACAUGCAUGAUCCUCGCAAGCCUCAUUUAUAUGUCAUUUUUCACAUAUUCAAUAAUUAAAUAUGCACAAGGAAAAGCUCUACUCUUCUCCAAAAAUGGCAUUAUAAAAUAGACACAUUUACAGAUGUUGAUUGGACUGCAUCUCCAGAUAAUAGGAGAUCAACUAUUGGUUAUUGCGUACUCAUAGGAGGCAACCAAGUUACUUAGAAAAGCAAAAAGCAGAGUGUAGUUAUUUGUUCCAAUGCUGAAGCAUAAUAUAGAACGAUAACAAUGUCCUAAGAAGUAUGUGAAUUAUUAUGGUUGCAAAAACUAAUAAAAAAAUUAGAAUUGUUUAAAAAAGAUAGUUUAUCCUUAUUUUGUAACAAUAAAACAACCAUUAGCAUAACUCAUUAUCCAGUUCAACAUAAUCGAACAAAAUACAUUAAGAUUGAUCAACACUUCAUAACAGAGAAAGUGAUUAAUAGCUUCUUAUGCAUAUAUCAUGUGUUUUCUAGUGAACACGUCACAAAUCUCUUCACCAAAUAACUUUACAACAAAUUUUUUCAUAAUUUAGUCUACAAGUUGGGCAUGUACGAUAUUUUUACACCAACUUCAAGGGAAUUUUAACUAGAACAUUCCAUUACUCCAUUAGUUGAGAUAUUUUUUCUUAAUAUUCCUUCCCAUAAUCUUUUCUAUAAUGAUGUAAUUAAUUAGUAUAAUCAAUUAAAAUCCCUACAAUUAUAUAAAUUUUCUGAUUCAUAAAAACAAAUUCUGUAUAUAUACAUCGAUUAUAAUAUUACAAGUGAUAUAAGAAAAUAAAAGUAUAGAUUUUUUGAGAAUUAUAAUAUCACAAGUGAUAUAAGAAAAUAAAAGUAAAUAUUUUUUCUCAAAAAAUCUAUACUUUUAACGGAAUUGUUGACACUAGGCAGAAAUAAGGAUAAUGUUUAAAAAGAAUAUGGACCAAAGUUUGGAAGCUAGAACAUGAGAUGGCAUCCGGUUUAUGAGGUUGGCUGCAAUAAGGAUGGUUUGAAAAAUUGGUUGUCAUUCUCAAAGAAUAGACAAUUUCAAGAAGAUGUCUGUUUUUCUCUCUACAAUUUUAUUUUUUUGUAGAGUAUCUACACAAAAACUUUGACGCGAUUCCUUGGUGCAACAAAUUAUCUCCUGCAACAUUAUUGAAAACUUCUUUGGCAUUAUUUGUUACAAGGAUUUCAAUUUUUGUUUAGAAUUGAUUUUGGAUCAUUUUGUGAAAAUUUUGAAAGACUUGUCCAACUUCUAACUUUCCUUUUAAAAAAAAAAAUCCAUGUCAAACAAGUGUGAUCAUUAAUAAAGGGUGCAAACUUACAAAACCCAACUACAUAUUUAACAUGAGUUAAUCUUCAUACAUCACUAUGAAAUAUUGUGAAUGGAUGAGACGGUUUAUAUGGAUGGCUUAGAAACAAAUUUCGUGAAUGUUUUAAGAUUUGACACACAUCACACUGAAAUAAUUUUGGAUUUUUAAUUUUCAAUAGCGAUGGAAAAACUUUUUUGAGGUACAAAAAGAUGGGAAUACCGAAUAGAAAAUACCAUAAUAUAAUAUCAUUAUCGGAAACAUUAAUUAAAGAGUUAUGAGGAACUGAACUAACAACAUGUAGAGCUUGUCCACUUGGAGAGUUGUUGUUGGUGCGGAGGUACAACCCUGAACACUCUUUAAUACUACCAAUCGUUCUCUCCCAUACCCAAAUCCUGAAAUUCACACAAAUUCUUAAAAAAUUUAAUAACAACGAUUUUGAGGUAAUAUUCUUAUCGAUAACAAGUUAAAAUCCAAUCUUGAAACAAAUAACACAGAGUGAAGUAUUAAGUAUUUCAUCAACUCCAUCUUUCCAAUUCCAAUGAUUUGUGAUUUUGUUCCAUCAACAAUCCGCAUAUACUACUUCUAUUUACAUGGAUUAAGGUUAGCAAAUAACCAUGAAUCUUCAGUUAUAUGGUCAGAGACACUUGAGUAGACAAUCCAAACAACAAAUUUUUCCUCUGCAAUAUUAAGGUCAGGUAUGAUGUUACCUUUGUGAGCCACAGAUCCUAAGGUUAUGGAAGUACCAGGUGGGGUUGUUUUCUGCACAAAGAAUUGUUGGAGUAAUUCCAGUUGUUCUUUGCUAAAGAUAGAUAUCCCUAUAUUUUCAAGCUUCUCUCUCAAGGUAGUUGAAUUACUUAUGCUCCCUCUCCUAGUAUUAAGUUUUGCAUCUUAUGAUCUGCCAUGCAAAUCCUAGCAUUUAUUCUUAGUGUGACUAAGUUUAUGCAAUGAUUACAUUCUGGCCUUUCCCUCCUUUAUUUUCCAAAGUUGAGUCAUCGUUAUCCUCCUCUAACUAUAAAUGCAGUUGCUCCAAAAUCAUUGAAUGAAUUACGAGUUCCCAUCAUGACUUUCUUGCAGCGUUCAUCACACCUAACUACAGCAAAUGCUUCACGAAGACUGAGAAUCGGUCAUUUGGAAAGGAUCCUUCCACGUACAUCAUCCAAGUUCUUAUUUACUCCUGUUAAGAACUUGUACAAUCUCUUUUGUUCCAAAAGUUUGUUGUGAUACAAAGCAUCAUCUAGACUUUCUUUUCUUGGACAUAUAUUAAGUACACGGCAUCAAAUGGGUGUCACCCAUGUACAAGAAAUUUACAUGUCAAUUAGUAUAUCUACAACAACAUCAAAAUCUUCCAUACUGUAAAGGUUAUGUUCCUAAAUAAUGAAACCACAUAUCUUUAAUAUUCACAAAAAGAUCUUUCCUCCUCUUAAAAGUCCUAUUGUUUCUCUCCUUCCAAACAACUCAAAAGAUGGACAAAGAGAUAAGGCAGGCAAACCUGUUGUUUCUAGAAAAGCCCUCCCAAGCCAAUACUUCAUUGUUCGCCAAAUCUGCCAUUACCCAAUUGAUUCCCAUAAUGUUGUAAACAAGGGCCCAAAGGUUGAAGGAAAAAGGGCACCAAAGCAGUAGGGGAUUGCAGGUCUCAGCAGUACACUUGUAAAGGAAGCAUCUGUUCACCAUAAUUUUCUCUUUUUUCGUCAAGUUAUCGAUAGUUAAUAUGCGCUCUUGGACCACUUCCUAUGCGAAAAAAUAGAUUCUUGCCAGGGGGGAUGCGCCUUCCAAAAUGAUCUUAUAAGGGAACAUCAUGCCCCUCACUUCUCUGCAUCCAACCAAAUGUCUGUAAAAUGAACUGACGGAGAAACUGCCAUUUUCCUUCAGGUUCCAGCACAGCUUGUCACUCCUGUUGUUAAGACAAAUGGUGGCCAACAACUGUAGAAAGUUCUCAUAUUAAGCCACUUCCUAGUCUUGCAGAUUUCUAUUAACUGCCACUGCACAUACCCAGCCAUCAGCAUCCCUGAAAGCUUCCCCAACUAAUAAGUAUUUUGUCCUAAGCAAUAGAAUAAAUCAUGUGGAAUCUGGACAUGAGGCUUUCCUCCCCACACCAUUUAUCAUGCCAAAAUCAAACUCUAUCCCUCUCCCAACAUCCCAUCCGGUGCACUCAAGCACGUUUUUUGUAGAUCGACAUUAUACCUUUCCAAAGACUCAUGUUAUGAGGUCUGUUCAUUAGAGGGAAGCCACCAUCACUGCCCCUUCUCACCCAUUUAAUAUCAAUGAUCCUCUUCCAAAUGCUGUUAUUUUCAUUCACGUAUCUCCAAACCCAUUUUCUAUGAAGCGNNNNNAAACAUAUCAAAGUGUUGCUAAUGACACUUGAGUAUGUUGAAUAUUAAGCGAUGGUAAGUUCUCCAUAUUGUUGAUCAUCAAGGCAUUCCAUUUUGAAAAAUUCAUAUGUACUUUUUAUGUGUGAGUACGCCUCCUUUGCUGCUUCCCAUAUUUCUGCUGCAGUUAUAGAGGAGAAAAUUGUCUCCUAUUUCAUUCGUCAAGGAAUUCAGUCACAACGACAUUACUUGGUUAUUUUAUAGUCGACAUGUUGAGUCUUCCUUCUACAGUUGGACAACUUCACCUGUAACUAUUAUGAAGAUGAGGACUAAUUGUAACCAUUGCAAUUAAUUCUUGCCAUUUAAUUUGUGGACAGUGAUCAUGAGAGGCCGACCUUUGAAGGCUCCCAGUUGCCUGAUAGGACUCGAGAUAACAUCCAUCGAAGGGGCUCCUCUUUUAACGGUCAUGGAUUUUUUUUUAAAAAAUGUCGGUUGUCAGAGUUUAAAUUACUCUGAUACCAUGUAGAAAGGGAGAAAUUUAUUUAAAAAUGGAGAUAUUUCUUUCUACAUUUUGAAAGGCUGAAGACAGCCAAUAUAUACAUACUUUACAAUUAAUUACUUUCCUUAGAGGAAGAUUUGACAAUUAGUUUACAGUAAAUAAGGAAUCAGAAAUAAAAUCUAAUAAUGUCAAAUCUAACUACUAAUAACAAAAGGUAUAGCUACCUAAUGGCCGGAUUUUUUACCAGGUCAAGAAUUAAAGACUGAAAAUAUUUCUACAAUAACGAAUUAAAUGCUGAGAAUAUUUCAACAUUAUGUUGAGAAUAUUUCCCAAUUUAUGCUGAUAAUAUUUCUACACUAAUGCUGAGAAUAUGUCUACAUUAAUGCUGAGAAUAUUUCCGCACUAAUUAAAAUUGAAACUAAUCUCUAACAAUCAAAACAACCCAAACAAUUAUGUCUGACAAAUUCUAAUCACUAUUAAUUGGGUCUUGACAUAGGACAACUUAAUAAAAUAAAUUUAGUUCUUAAUGAACACCUGUAACACUUAAAUUUAUUUCAAUAUAAUUUGAAUUAAAUUGUAAAUAUAAUUUUGUAGGUUUUUUUGUUUAAUUUUAAUUUAAUGAAAAAAUGAAGUAAAAUUAAUGGAGAAUUAAAUUGAAAACAACUCUAGGAAGAAGGAGUGAAAAUUUGGGUUCUGAGAGUAUUUUUGAAAGAAAAAUCGGAAAACAGAAACUAAAAACGCAAUUUUGGAACGUUUUACCACAUCAGACGCCGGGUCAGCAGCCCGGAAUAACCAGAACGCGACAAGUGGCAAAGAUGUUGACGCGGGAGACCACGCGGGGGGGCCACGUGGGCGAUCCGCGUGCCCGUGAUAGAACGACUGAGGUCCGUUCCUGCACGUGCGGACGGCCUGCAUGCGCUCCCUCCCAAACGCGAUCGAACAGCCAGAUUCAAACACGAUCGGACGGCUCAUAGUGAAUAGCGAUUGACGAUCCAGAUUGGAUGGCGAUGAACAGCCCAGAUUCACUCCCUAUUUAAUCGCGAUCGGACGGUACAGAUCAAACGCGAUGCAUGCCCAAGAUCAAAAGCAGAUAGGUAUAAAUAAUCCCCAUCCGCACCAAACCCUAAUCCUAGCUGCCAGAAUCCCUCGCCAGAGAAGACAACCUAGCCGCCGGGGAGCCGACCGCCGCCACUCACUGCCACACCGGAACCCUUUCCGACCGCCAAAAAAGGUAAAAACUUCUCUUUUGCACGAAAUUCAAUUUUAAGCUCACCCAUGACCAAAUCGGAGUGAUUGGCCAGAAAACAUCGGCGAAGCCCAACACCGUCGCCGCGGAAAAUUUCAUAAAACGCCUCCAAUGAGACCCUUCCCGAUUCCCGUUUCGCGUGAUUUUUCCACCGUUGUGAUCACCGUUUUCUUCUCCACAGGUUGACCAAAGUAAAACAUCCAACCGCAACGUAAGCCUGAGAAGCCGCCGCAUCGGAGAGUCCUGCCACUGGUGAGUUUCGGUUGUUCGUGUUUUUUCGGCCAACCGAUGGCUUUUAACGUGUUUUCUCGCAAGAAUCGAUGCAAAAUCGGCCAAAUUCAGCCGAAAACAGCCGACUCGAGACGGACCGCCACCGCAGGCAACGGCACUAUCCCCGGAGCACGGUGGAGCAGCCGUGCCGGAUUUCUAAAAUUGGUCGAGUUGGCCCUAGGACUGAUUUUGGGUUUAUUUGAAACAUUUGUAGGUACUAUAAGCGCAUUUCAGUUUUCAGAGAAAAAUUCAGGGGACCCAGGGACUGCCCGUAGUCACAAUAAACCGUUUACCUUUUCGACGUUAAAUCGAGUAAAUAUCCCUCACUUUAUUCCAUAUCAUAGAGUUGAAGUUUAAAUAAAUAAUAAUAUGAUAUUUGUGUAAAUUAAAUGAAUGUCCAUAAUUAAUUACUAAUUGCUAAUGGAGUCCGAACCGAAAAUUGUUCUCUGUUAAUCUUUGUUGAUAUAUUUUAUAGUCUAAAAGCAUGAUAGUGUCUUAUUGUUUUAUUUUAUGGUUUGAAUGCACAAAUUGUUACCUUACGUAACUACUGUUGAUUGGAAAAUUGAAAUAUGCUUGUAUUCCCUUAUGCUUGUUUGUUUGUUUAUGUGAUUAUGGUUGAUUUGAAAAAUGGAGACUAAAGGAAAACAGGAGAGUUAUGUGAUUAAAUAAACAGAUUGAAUGGCAGCUUUACUGAAUAUCCUGAGAGAUAGUGGACGAUCGGGUACAUAGAGAAUCUUACCGUGAAUGUUGUCUCAUACCGGACGGGGUAUGAAGACCUGAUAAUUCGGCGCCCAUACCGAACGGGGUAUAAGGACGGCCCGCUUCACCCUCAUACCGGACGGAGUAUUGAGAUUUAAUGAUUUGGCGCUCAUACCGAACGAGAUAUGAGAACGGCUCUGUAAUUGAGAUUGUUAAAGGAAAGAGUUCACGUGUAGCGGGAACAUCCCUAUGAACCCUCAUGGAUACUAGUAGGCUGGUGAAAAGAGAAACAGUUAUGGUUUGGUUUAUUGUUAAUGGAUAUAGAUUUAUAAUGUGUUCUAUGUUGCUGAUUGUUCAUGAAGUUAUGAUCUGUAUAGUAUUAUUAUUUUUAUAAGUUGUUUUCAUAAAUUCCACUAUGAUAAGUGAACGAGUAAUGAUUUUAUGAUUGAUAAACGAAUUUACUAAAUUUAAUGCUCCACUAAUGGUUUUCGAUUUUAUAUCAACUUUGACUUCUGUGCCGGUGAUAUAGUGUGAUAUCCUUAAUAGACUAGUGUAACUCAUCCUUUAUUUAACCAUUUCAUAUCAAGAGGAUCAACUUCCAGAUCCCGAUCCGUAAAAAAAUUGCGAGUAGAUGCUAGAUAUUUUCUAUUUUUCAUUUGUUUUCUUAGUUCUCGUGUUUCUUUUAAAAAAUAAAUUCCAUAAUAUUAUUCAGUACUUUUAAGUUAUUGUAUAAGAAAUGUAAAUCUUAAUCUUUUAUUUUACUUUCGCACUUAAGUUAUUAUAUAUUUUAUUUUGGAUUUUCGGGACCGUUACAACACCAAAUAACCAAAAAAGAAAGUAAAUGUUAAAAGUAGCACCUGCAACAGCAUAGAGAGUGUCAUCAAUGAGAAAAUAAGGAGAGAUUCUCGUAAAUGAAUCACAAAAUAUAACACAACAUUUUAAGGGAUAAACAUGGUUUUAACAUUUUAGGGACAUUAUAAAUUUAUAUCAAUCAACAAAUUCUAUUCAUGCACACACACAACGGGCUGCAAAGCAUUGGUACCAUUUAAAUGGAUAGAACUGUCCAUUUCACCGUGGAAGAGUUAUCCAUGGUUUAAAACAAUCUUCUAGUUGCAUCUUCAACCCAGCCACCCAACCGAAUAUAUGUAUCCUUCCCUCUGUUGCUCUAUUUCAAAUGGACAAAAGUGAGGUUUACUGUUUAUCCCAAGUAGAUAAGUUGAACUGCAGUCAACAUGAAAUACACCAUCCAGACAAAAUUCUUACGCCAAACUAACAAGCAACCUAGACGUAAUAAGCUAAUUCUUUACUCCCUCUAUUACAUUGUUAGCAUAGCAUGAGGAGGAUCCAAUAAAGCAAUAUUUAUAUGAUACUGCCAACGUCAAAAAGAAAAUUAGGAAUAAACCUAGGUAACAGAACUGAACUUCAGGACCAAUAUAGCAUCACUUGAUAGGUCCUCUCAUCUGCCAAACAAAGAAAUUACUGGAGUUCCAACCACAUAAAACUUCCUUCAAGUUUUAACUACGAUCAUUGAUCAAAAUUGGUGGCAACACUUCCCUUUGCACAAAGUACAAUAUUUCUGAGCUGUCCCAUUAGCAGCGAAAGCUCGAGGACCUUUCCAAAUAAGCAACCUCAAACAUCGAAAUCUAACUCCACUUCUAACAGCACCAAUUCAAUGUCCACCUAACCAGCUCCGCGAAACCCAAGUUUUCCCAAGUUCGACCAUUCACUUCUAUUUCGGCAAAUUUCGAUAGACUAUUCGCCCAACAAUCAAAUAAAAUAAAUCUUAUAGAAAAUCGAUAAGGACCAAUUUUUCCUCGCACAACAACAGCAGCAGCAGAAAAUGGAUUCGAGCACUUACUAUAACCAACCAAAACAUACAAUUUUCAUGACUAAAUAGAAUUUCAACAAAACUAAUAACGAAAAUCAAGCUAAAACCAAAAUUACCUCAAAAUAAGCAGCAAAAACUCAAAGCAAAAUUCAAUGAAACAGAGCGCAUUUCUCUAUCUUCCUUGCUUUCAUCUGCUACUUAAACCAAACUGUCGUAGUUAUGAAGAGAUUAUUGCCGCCGAGAGAGAAUCAUUAUCGAUAUUAAGCUCGAACUAUUAAGGCGUCAAAAUCAAAGCCCUAAGAUUCUCAGAAACCAAUAUGAAAAAGCACUAAUUCUAAUAAUUGGAACCGGACCGAAGGCGAUAAAAUUCCUAGAGAGAGAGAGAGAGUUCUAUAAAACUGAGCACACGGAGAUGAAAGAGAAAAUGGUUAAGUGAGAAGCUACACCCCGAAAAUUAUUAUUAUUAUCAUUUUUAUUACGAUAGGAAGUUACUUUUCAAUUUAUAUUUCGAUUCUCCUAAAAAAUGUAAAUAAUAAAUAAAUAACAUUUUUAAUAAACAAAUUGUUAUUUUGGGAACAGUACAUUGGAA